AUUGAACGCUGGCGGCAUGCCUUACACAUGCAAGCCGAACGGCAGCACGGGAGCAAUCCUGGUGGCGUGUGGCGAACGGGUGAGUAAAGUAUCGGAACGUGCCCAGUCGUGGGGGAUAACGUAGCGAAAGUUACGCUAAUACCGCAUACGAUCUAUGGAUGAAAGCGGGGGAUCGCAAGACCUCGCGCGAUUGGAGCGGCCGAUAUCAGAUUAGGUAGUUGGGGGGGUAAAGGCUCACCAAGCCGACGAUCUGUAGCUGGUCUGCGAGGACGACCAGCCACACUGGAACUGAGACACGGCCCAGACUCCUACGGGAGGCAGCAGUGGGGAAUUUUGGACAAUGGGCGAAAGCCUGAUCCAGCCAUGCCGCGUGCAGGAUGAAGGCCUUCGGGUUGUAAACUGCUUUUGUACGGAACGAAAAGGUUUGGCCUAAUAAGCUGAGCUCAUGACGGUACCGUAAGAAUAAGCACCGGCUAACUACGUGCCAGCCGCCGCCGUAA
RNAcentral lists this ribosomal RNA (500 nucleotides) under uncultured bacterium. RNAcentral describes it as "partial 16S ribosomal RNA". It matches the Rfam family "Bacterial small subunit ribosomal RNA", at positions 30 to 523 of the family's 1533-position model. The record is from RNAcentral.